AGUGCUCGCUCCUGCUCGGGGCGCUGCGGCCCCGGGCGUCGCCAUGACCAGCGAGCUGGACAUCUUCGUGGGGAACACGACCCUUAUCGACGAGGACGUGUAUCGCCUCUGGCUCGAUGGUUACUCGGUGACCGACGCGGUGGCCCUGCGGGUGCGCUCGGGAAUCCUGGAGCAGACUGGCGCCACGGCAGCAGUGCUGCAGAGCGACACCAUGGACCAUUACCGCACCUUCCACAUGCUCGAGCGGCUGCUGCAUGCGCCGCCCAAGCUACUGCACCAGCUCAUCUUCCAGAUUCCGCCCUCCCGGCAGGCACUACUCAUCGAGAGGUACUAUGCCUUUGAUGAGGCCUUUGUUCGGGAGGUGCUGGGCAAGAAGCUGUCCAAAGGCACCAAGAAAGAUCUGGAUGACAUCAGCACCAAAACAGGCAUCACCCUCAAGAGCUGCCGGAGACAGUUUGACAACUUUAAACGGGUCUUCAAGGUGGUAGAGGAAAUGCGGGGCUCCCUGGUGGACAAUAUUCAGCAACACUUCCUCCUCUCUGACCGGUUGGCCAGAUGGGGAAGGGUCAUAGAGAAGUGACUUGAGACACGUCACACAGUGACUUAAGGCAGAGAGAGGCCAGAACUCGGACACCCAGCUGAGGUUGCAGGUGGGAGCUGCUUCCUAAGAAGGAAUUUCAAGCCCUAAGAGGACCCUCCUCUCGUCUGUGCAGGGACUAUGCAGCCAUCGUCUUCUUUGCUAACAACCGCUUUGAGACAGGGAAGAAAAAACUGCAGUAUCUGAGCUUCGGUGACUUUGCCUUCUGCGCUGAGCUCAUGAUCCAAAACUGGACCCUUGGAGCCGUCGGUGAGGCCCCCACUGACCCAGGUGCCUGGACGCCUCCCCAUCCUCAGGACCUGAUUCCCCACCAGUAGUUUCUCCCACAGGCCCUCAGUUCCUGGCAUCCGCUCCUGUUCAUGGCCCCCACCCAGGCUCCCCCUGCCCACGAAUGUUUUCCCCACACACACCUUGUCUGCAGACAAAGGGCCCAUUGCCUCUCUGUGG
Molecule: small RNA, 1045 nt
Filed under: Pan troglodytes (chimpanzee)
Lineage: Eukaryota; Metazoa; Chordata; Mammalia; Primates; Hominidae
Description: retained intron
Source: RNAcentral